AACGCGAAGAACCUUACCUGGGUUUGACAUCUCCUGACAGCCGUAGAGAUACGGUUUCUGUAGCAAUACAGCAGGAAGACAGGUGCUGCAUGGCUGUCGUCAGCUCGUGUGGUGACAUGUUGGGUUAAGUCCCGCAACGAGCGCAACCCUUGUCUUUAGUUGCCAGCAUUCAGUUGGGCUCUCUAAAGAGACUGCCGUGGUGAACACGGAGGAAGGUGGGGAUGACGUCAAGUCCUCAUGGCCUUUAUAUCCAGGGCGACACACGUGAUACAAUGGACGGUACAGAGGGAAGCGAAACCGCGAGGUGGAGCCAAUCUCAAAAAGCCGUUCUCAGUUCGGAUUGGAGUCUGCAACUCGACUCCAUGAAGUUGGAAUCGCUAGUAAUCGCGGAUCAGCACGCCGCGGUGAAUACGUUCCCGGGCCUUGUA
This 428-nucleotide ribosomal RNA is filed under the name uncultured delta proteobacterium. RNAcentral's name for it is "bacterial SSU rRNA". It matches the Rfam family "Bacterial small subunit ribosomal RNA", at positions 958 to 1385 of the family's 1533-position model. The record is from RNAcentral. Lineage: Bacteria; Deltaproteobacteria.